RNAcentral lists this long non-coding RNA (583 nucleotides) under Helianthus annuus (common sunflower). Its description in RNAcentral is "hypothetical non coding rna". Lineage: Eukaryota; Viridiplantae; Streptophyta; Magnoliopsida; Asterales; Asteraceae. The record is from RNAcentral.
GUUUUGAUCCUCACUCAUAUUCUGUCCUUUUCUUCCUUGGUCACCAUAUGUACACAUGCAUCACACAUAGAUAGAGAGAGAAAGAGGUUUAGAGAGAGAAGCAUAAAGAGAGGGAGGCGAUCAGAGAUGAGAUACUAAAGGAGGCCGUCCAUGGCCUAUCGGAACUGAAUCAGCGUCCUCACAGGAAGCUUUUCAUGAUUUCAUCUUGGAUUUCAAAAGUCAAACCUUCUACAUUUAGUGCAUUCCUUGGGAAAAGAUUCGUACCAACUUCAGGACAGUAGUCAUAAAUUGGGUUUCACGUUUUUUGGGUCAAACCUGCUAUGCAUUACACAUUAGUUAUGGUUUUGAGACCGGAUAUGAUAUGAGAUGAUCGUCGAGUGUUGCUGUUAGCCUUGAGUUGCCUAGCCUAACUGGCAUAGUGGCAUCUCUUCGUGUACAUGAUACCUGUUCUUAGAGGAAUGUUGGGUAACGGGUCAAAACAGGUCGAGUUGGCCGUAAAUUUGUGAAUUUGUUUACAUUAGAAGUGUUCAAUACAUACGUGAAUAUUCUGUUUUGCCGCCGAAAAGCGCGGCAUGGCAAAAUC